GAAAAACAGAGACACCUGGAAAAGCUUUGCAGGAGGAGUGGCCAUGUCACCUGGUAGCAUGUACAUGUCUGCAGGGCCCAGCUGAGUUCUGGGGGAUGGAAGGUGGUUCCAGGAAAUGGUGACCUGAGGAACAGGUGUGUGCUCUGUGCUCCUGCUCCUCACCACACGAUGGCCCCAGAGCCCUACGAAACCUGUAAAUGAGUCCAGAGGCCUAAAAUGCUUCUCUCAAAGGUCGUGCUGAUUUCCUGAUUAAAAGAUUAAAAGAGCUGGGC
This is a long non-coding RNA of Rhinopithecus roxellana (golden snub-nosed monkey), 272 nucleotides long. RefSeq lists it as uncharacterized. NCBI's taxonomy places the organism in Eukaryota, Metazoa, Chordata, Mammalia, Primates, Cercopithecidae. The record is from RefSeq and is a predicted model, not a curated record. The transcript is spliced from 2 exons.